GUGGGGAAUAUUGGACAAUGGGGGCAACCCUGAUCCAGCAAUACCGCGUGAGUGAAGAAGGCCUUCGGGUUGUAAAGCUCUUUUACCGGGGAAGAUUAUGACGGUACCCGGGGAAUAAGCUCCGGCUAACUUCGUGCCAGCAGCCGCGGUAAUACGAAGGGAGCUAGCGUUGUUCGGAAUUACUGGGCGUAAAGGGCGCGUAGGCGGCUUUGUAAGUCAGAUGUGAAAGCCACGGGCUUAACCUGGGAACUGCAUUUGAUACUGCAAGGCUAGAGAUCGAGAGAGGAAAGUGGAAUUACGAGUGUAGAAGUGAAAUUCGUAGAUAUUCGUAGGAACACCGGUGGCGAAGGCGACUUUCUGGCUCGAACCUGACGCUAAAGCGCGAAAGCGUGGGGAGCAAACAGGAUUAGAAACCCUAGUAGUCC
RNAcentral lists this ribosomal RNA (425 nucleotides) under uncultured bacterium. Its description in RNAcentral is "partial 16S ribosomal RNA". It matches the Rfam family "Bacterial small subunit ribosomal RNA", at positions 354 to 796 of the family's 1533-position model. The record is from RNAcentral.